Molecule: ribosomal RNA, 408 nt
Filed under: uncultured bacterium
Lineage: Bacteria
Description: partial 16S ribosomal RNA
Rfam family: Bacterial small subunit ribosomal RNA
Source: RNAcentral
AGUGAACGCUGGCGGCGUGCCUAAUACAUGCAAGUCGAACGGAGUGGCGCACGGGUGAGUAAUGUAUAGCUAAUCUGCCCUACACUAGAGGAAAACAGUUGGAAACGACUGCUAAUACUCUAUAGUGUAGGAUGAGGCGAUAUUGUAUCAGCUAGUUGGUGAGGUAAUGGCUCACCAAGGCUAUGACGCAUAACUGGUCUGGGGGGAUGGGCAGUCACCCUGGAACUGAGGCACGGUCCGGGCUCCUUCGGGAGGGAGCAGUAGGGAAUAUUGCUCAAUGGGCGAAACCCAGAAGCGGCAACGGCGCGUGGAGGAUGACACUUUUCGGAGCGUAAACUCCUUUUGUUAUGGAAGCGGUACCUAACGAAUAAGCCCCGGCUAACUCCGUGCCAGCAGCCGCGGUAAUUC